GCCCGGUCGAGGACCGGACGGGUCUCGUCGGUCUCGUAGAGGUUGUCGACGCCUUGCAGCAGGGUGGCCAUGCGUUCCACGCCCAUGCCGGUGUC
RNAcentral lists this transfer RNA (95 nucleotides) under Streptomyces rubradiris. RNAcentral describes it as "tRNA-Tyr". Lineage: Bacteria; Bacillati; Actinomycetota; Actinomycetes; Kitasatosporales; Streptomycetaceae. The record is from RNAcentral.